Molecule: ribosomal RNA, 492 nt
Filed under: uncultured bacterium
Lineage: Bacteria
Description: partial 16S ribosomal RNA
Rfam family: Bacterial small subunit ribosomal RNA
Source: RNAcentral
AGUGAACGCUGGCGGUAGGCCUAACACAUGCAAGUCGAACGGCAGCACAGUAAGAGCUUGCUCUUACGGGUGGCGAGUGGCGGACGGGUGAGGAAUACAUCGGAAUCUACUUUUUCGUGGGGGCUAACGUAGGGAAACUUACGCUAAUACCGCAUACGACCUACGGGUGAAAGCAGGGGAUCUUCGGACCUUGCGCGAUUGAAUGAGCCGAUGUCGGAUUAGCUAGUUGGCGGGGUAAAGGCCCACCAAGGCGACGAUCCGUAGCUGGUCUGAGAGGAUGAUCAGACACACUGGAACUGAGAAAGGGUACAGACUCAGAAGGGAGGCAGAAGUGGGGAAUAUUGGACAAUGGGCGCAAGACUGAUCCAGCCAUACCGCGUGGGUGAAGAAGGCCUUCGGGUUGUAAAGCACUUUUGUUGGGAAAGAAAAGCAGCAGGUUAAUAACCCGCUGUUCUGACGUUACCCAAAGAAUAAGCACAGGAUAACUUAGUG